This 394-nucleotide unclassified non-coding RNA is filed under the name fungal sp. RNAcentral describes it as "partial internal transcribed spacer region". The stretch from base 1 to 46 matches the Rfam family "Eukaryotic small subunit ribosomal RNA", at positions 1786 to 1831 of the family's 1831-position model. Lineage: Eukaryota; Fungi. The record is from RNAcentral.
AAGUCGUAACAAGGUCUCCGUAGGUGAACCUGCGGAGGGAUCAUUAACACGUAUCCAAUACGUCCACUCUUCAAACCCCAAACCGCGAACUAAAUAUCCCCACUCGGAUUUUCGACGAACUGUAGAUCAUGGGUGAUAGAGACGGCUUCGGCUGACUCUGUCUACAGUUCUGAGUGUCCAGGCUUUCGGGUCUGAGAUGCAGUCGGUCUGUUGUGGUUGUAUCCCUAGUCACCUGGCUUUUAGGCCAACCCUGUUUCGACCAGGAGCCUCUAAGCCUUAGUACUCCCAAUUUUUAACCCCUUUUUGAAAAACUACUGAUUUUAUGUCUUUUCUCUUUGAGAAAGAACAUAUACGAAAUUGCGAACAACUCUUAGCAACGGAUAUCUUGGUUCUC